AUUGAACGCUGGCGGCAUGCUUUACACAUGCAAGUCGAACGGUAACAGGCCGCAAGGUGCUGACGAGUGGCGAACGGGUGAGUAAUGCAUCGGAACGUGCCCAGUCGUGGGGGAUAACUACUCGAAAGAGUAGCUAAUACCGCAUACGAUCUAUGGAUGACAGCGGGGGACCGUAAGGCCUCGCGCGAUUGGAGCGGCCGAUGUCAGAUUAGGUAGUUGGUGGGGUAAAGGCUCACCAAGCCAACGAUCUGUAGCUGGUCUGAGAGGACAACCAGCCACACUGGGACUGAGACACGGCCCAGACUCCUACGGGAGGCAGCAGUGGGGAAUUUUGGACAAUGGGCGCAAGCCUGAUCCAGCAAUGCCGCGUGCAGGAAGAAGGCCUUCGGGUUGUAAACUGCUUUUGUACGGAACGAAACGGCUCUGGUUAAUACCCGGGGCUAAUGACGGUACCGUAAGAAUAAGCACCGGCUAACUACGUG
This 482-nucleotide ribosomal RNA is filed under the name uncultured bacterium. Its description in RNAcentral is "partial 16S ribosomal RNA". It matches the Rfam family "Bacterial small subunit ribosomal RNA", at positions 30 to 507 of the family's 1533-position model. The record is from RNAcentral.